This 253-nucleotide ribosomal RNA is filed under the name uncultured bacterium. RNAcentral describes it as "partial 16S ribosomal RNA". It matches the Rfam family "Bacterial small subunit ribosomal RNA", at positions 524 to 776 of the family's 1533-position model. The record is from RNAcentral.
UACGUAGGUGGCAAGCGUUGUCCGGAUUUAUUGGGCUUAAAGGGUGCGUAGGCGGCCCCAUAAGUCAGUGCUGAAAUAUCCCGGCUUAACCGGGAGGGUGGCAUUGAUACUGUGGGGCUUGAGUAAAGUUGAGGUUGGCGGAAUUGACGGUGUAGCGGUGAAAUGCUUAGAUAUCGUCAAGAACACCGAUAGCGUAGACAGCUAACUAAGCUUUAACUGACGCUGAGGCACGAAAGUGUGGGGAUCAAACAGG